Molecule: ribosomal RNA, 83 nt
Filed under: Aquibacillus halophilus
Lineage: Bacteria; Bacillati; Bacillota; Bacilli; Caryophanales; Bacillaceae
Description: partial 23S ribosomal RNA
Rfam family: Bacterial large subunit ribosomal RNA
Source: RNAcentral
GACGAUGAGGUUGAUAGGUUCGAGGUGGAAGCGUGGUGACACGUGUAGCUGACGAAUACUAAUCGAUCGAGGACUUAACUAAA